AAACCUUUCUGUGAUUCUAUCAUUCUUCACUUUUCAGCAACUACCACCAUUGGGGAGAGAGGAAUGUUUCUGCAAGAAGCUCAGGCAACACAGCAGGGGCUGUAAUGUGGUUGGAGUGGAGCUUAAAUCCAAAGAAGUCAAGAGGAGGAAGGGACCAGGUAAAGGUAUGCAGUUGAGGCAGUCACCGGGAAGACUUGAGAAACUACUGAUUCAGCACCAUAAUGUUUAGAUAACACUCAGAGCAUCCUGAAAAUUAGGCCUCUUUAAAGUGUUCCUAGAUGUGCAACCAGGAGGAAGAGGCACACAAA
This 308-nucleotide long non-coding RNA is filed under the name Coturnix japonica (Japanese quail). RNAcentral describes it as "lncRNA (ENSCJPG00005008577.1)". Lineage: Eukaryota; Metazoa; Chordata; Aves; Galliformes; Phasianidae. The record is from RNAcentral.